This 379-nucleotide long non-coding RNA is filed under the name Equus asinus (donkey). RNAcentral describes it as "lncRNA (ENSEASG00005028638.1)". Lineage: Eukaryota; Metazoa; Chordata; Mammalia; Perissodactyla; Equidae. The record is from RNAcentral.
GGAGGCCAACGUUCUCCGGACCCCGCCAGUUGACUGGUGCGGGGUGGGCUGGGGGUGGGCUGCCCACACACGAGCGAGCCACGCGCCCGAAGGGAGUGGCCAGGUGUGCAAACAGCUUCAGAACAAUCACUGACGUGGGACACCAUGGAGAGACUUCAUACGUCAGGUAGAAGGCUGGAACCGACAACAGCGAAGGCACCUCCUGACUGGGAGAUUCGGGAAAUUCCUCCGUGCUGGACCGCACCCGCCCUUGAGGACCUCCCGAUCUCUUUGGGCAGAACGGAAGCCAGACAGAGACGGGGACUGCGAAGUGACAAUCCCCAGCCCUGUAUGUGCCAGGAGCCCCUGAGGGGCAGGCGGCCAUGCGGCAGGAGGGCAG